UAACUCUCCGUAUAAUCCUAAAAUAAACCGCACUCAUUAACGGGUUAAAAGGUAUUUUCGGAUAAAACUCAUAACGGGAAUUUGAGUUAAAUAACAGACGUCAGGAAUUGUCUGAUAAAAAAAUGCCGGCAUAUCGCCGGCACGUUUUU
RNAcentral lists this small RNA (149 nucleotides) under Enterobacter cloacae. RNAcentral's name for it is "Enterobacterial sRNA STnc430". It matches the Rfam family "Enterobacterial sRNA STnc430", at positions 15 to 157 of the family's 162-position model. The record is from RNAcentral. Lineage: Bacteria; Pseudomonadati; Pseudomonadota; Gammaproteobacteria; Enterobacterales; Enterobacteriaceae.